This 32-nucleotide non-coding RNA is filed under the name unclassified sequences. The record is from RNAcentral.
CUAUGACUUAUAUUAAGUCAUGGCGAGAGGAG